GCGAAUGCCUCUAGAUUUUAAGUUUGAUCAUGGCUCAGGACUGAACGCUGGCGGCGUGCCUAAUACAUGCAAGUCGAACGGUAACAGGAAGCAGCUUGCUGCUUUGCUGACGAGUGGCGGACGGGUGAGUAAUGUCUGGGAAACUGCCUGAUGGAGGGGGAUAACUACUGGAAACGGUAGCUAAUACCGCAUAACGUCGCAAGACCAAAGAGGGGGACCUUCGGGCCUCCUGCCAUCGGAUGUGCCCAGAUGGGAUUAGCUAGUAGGUGGGGUAACGGCUCACCUAGGCGACGAUCCCUAGCUGGUCUGAGAGGAUGACCAGCCACACUGGAACUGAGACACGGUCCAGACUCCUACGGGAGGCAGCAGUGGGGAAUAUUGCACAAUGGGCGCAAGCCUGAUGCAGCCAUGCCGCGUGUAUGAAGAAGGCCUUCGGGUUGUAAAGUACUUUCAGCGGGGAGGAAGGUGUUGAGGUUAAUAACCUCAGGCAAUUUGAACCGUUUACCCC
Molecule: ribosomal RNA, 508 nt
Filed under: uncultured bacterium
Lineage: Bacteria
Description: bacterial SSU rRNA
Rfam family: Bacterial small subunit ribosomal RNA
Source: RNAcentral